UUUUUUUUUCUCCCAAUGGAGUCCAACCAUCAACCCAGCAUCCCACCACCACCACCACCAACUCACCAUGACUCGGAGGCACUGACUCAGUUCUACCCUUCAGUCCCCAUUCAAGCUGCUCUACCCUCUCCUCAUCUUGAAGGGGCAAAUUGGUCUCAAGAGCAAGAGAACAAGAAGGUUGUGGAUGCUUUAAAGACCAAGCUUGCUAGAACCAAGAGGAAAUUGGCUAGGCAAAGAAGCCUCUUGAACAAAUCCAUUGCCUCUGCUUCUUCUGUUGGGAGUAAUCGUAAUCCUGUUGAGCAACGGAUUAGGAGUGUAGUGAGGACUGAAAGGAGCCGUUUGUUGUUUGAUUUCUUCACUCCCGACAACAAGGUGAGACCUUUUUUUUUUGUCUUUUCAGUUGACAAUUUUUGGGGUUUGAGUUAUGAUUCUGAUUUGUUUUCUCUGUUGGUUUGUUGGGUUUUUUGUGAAGAGACUGAGGUUGCUGUUGAAGAAGGUUCUGAGGAAGAGUGACGUUGGUGCUCUUGGGAGGAUUGUGCUUCCUAAGGUAUAUUGGUUUAAUGUCCCCCCCCCCCCCCUCCUCUUCUCUUAUGGUUUACUGGAUAUAUCGGAUAAUGAGUCUACGACGGUUCCAUUGGUUCUGGAAGGUAAGUCAACGAUACUGCAUAUUGGGGUCAGUUUGUUCGGUCCUGGAAGGUAAAGUACAUGGUAGUAUAUAAUGAGCCUAUAACGGUUUCACUGAUUUUUUGUUAUCUAUUAUCGUUUGUCCGUUUCGGUCUCCAAAUCUAUAAUAUUCCAAAAUCAUGUCUAUUUUAAACUUAUUGUUUGUCCGUUCCGGUCUUCAAAUCUAUGGUAUUCCAAAAUCAAAUCUAUUUUAAACUUAUCGUUUGUCCGUUAUGAUCUCCAAAUCUAUAAUAUUCCAAAACUAUGUCUAUUUUAAACUUAUCGUUUGUCCGUUCCGGUCUCCAAAUCUAUAGUAUUCCAAAAUCAUGUCUGUUAUAAACUUAUCGUUUGUCCGUUCUGAUCUCCAAAUCUAUAAUAUUCCAAAACCAUAUUUAUUUUAAACUUAUUGUUUGUCCGUUCCGGUCUCCAAAUUUAAGGUAUUCCAAAACUAUUAGAUAUUAUUGUAUUUCAAAAUCAGAUUCGCCCGAUCCGAUCCUAUUUAAUUUAACCAGAUUGAACUGGGUAAAACCAAUUAUACCGGACCCGAUUCUCACCCCGGAACAAUGGUAUUCCAAAAGUAGAUGUCUACUCAACCCAUGUUAUUUGUGUUGACAGAAGGAGACUGAAGAAAACCUUCCUUAUCUCCAUGAAAAAGAAGGAAUUCAUAUUGUGAUCAGAGAUGUCUACUCAACCCAAGAAUGGACCGUAAAAUUCAAGUAAUUUAGCUUAGGAUAAUGCUUUAAAUACUAAGGUUUAUUUGCCUAAUCCUAAUUAACCGCACCAUUUUUUUAAAAAACAGGUUCUGGAUUAAUAACAAGAGCAGGAUGUACGUCCUCGAAAACGCAGGUAAAAUAUAAAAUGUGACUAUAUCACUAGUAUUUUACUAUCUUGUUAUGUCCCGAUUUUAUCUGAUGUUAGCUAAGUGGUUUCUUGUAGCGGGAUAUUGGUGAUGGUUUUUGUUUGGUUUAAGUGCAGGGGAAUUUGUGAGGGAGAAUGGGCUUGAGAGUGGGGAUUGUUUGAACUUAUUUGAAGAUGAGAGCGGCAAAUUCGUGAGUACUCCCUUUUUAAUUAAUGAUCUUAAUUGGUACAAUGAUUCUUUUCAUGUUCCUUUUAAUUCAAUUUUCUAAGUAAUUAUCUCUCGUGUUUGGCAAAUUUAAGUCUCGUUUCGACAACUAAUGCCGCACCAAUGUAACAUUGAAUAUCUAAAUGGUUAAAUUUAUGAGUAAAUUUGAUUCUAUAAAUUUAAAUUUCUCGAUUUGCUUUUGAAGUACCUAUUUCAUUUCAUAACAUGAUCACAGUUGAUAUUUUUAAAAAAGGUUGGGUUGUAUUAUACAACCUGAGAAUCAACUUGAUUUUCUCAAUAUGUAUGUGUUCCAUUUCAUGAUGUUCAUAACAUUUUUCUUGCUUAAAUUUGUACAGUAUUACAUAUUCCAAAAAGUAAUCAGACCUCAAGAAACUCAACCAACAAAUCAGUUCUAUUACCAGACUAAUGAAGCUAGAGAGGAAGAAGACGCAUCAUUAGCUGUACUCAUCGAGCAACUCAAACACAGAGAACACAUGGAGGAAGAAGAAACUCGAAACCUCUUGAACAUUACUUCUUGUCCUCCAACCAACUAUGCUCAAACCUAUGGAUUGAGUACCAACAGCCAUCCAUAGGACCAUGAUCAACAACACCAAAGCAAGUGCUAUAUUCCCUUCUUAAUUACAUGGAUAGUGAUCAAAUGGUGAUAAAUAUUGGGGUAUAGAGUGAAGGAAAGAUGGAAGGAGACUUUAUAUUUUUAUAGUUUGUUUUGGGUUUUCUAUUAGUUUAAACUUUUUAAAUGUGUCUAUAUAUGGUUCAUUGUGGUGUUCAAAUUGGGUUAGUGGACUUCAAGCUAAGUAAUAAAGAUGUCUCUUUUCUAAAGGUAUUUGUGUCAUUGAAUUACUUAUAUUUACUUUACUAAAAUUUAGUCUAGAGUUCAACUUUGAUGGCUUGCUAGUGCUAGGGAUGAAAAUCCACAUAAAGGUCAACUAGCAGGAUUGAUCGUUAAUGGAUCUAUUGGGCAGAGCCAACCGUGGUUAGGUUAUCGUUCGAAUGUAUAUAUAACAAAAUCUUGAUGGACCUAACUGUUUCGUGCUUUAAGUUAUUAUGGAUUCGUUGCUGUCUAUCAUACAAGUUCAUGAAAACACUUUGUGAAUAUUUUUACUUGAGUAAUCUCAAUUCACUCUACUAUCUCACGGAUUCAGAUACUCAUCCUACUGGCUCGAGAAGGGACACAUGAAGGAUUUUUCGUAGAAUAUCGAGUUAGUUGCUCGAUUAAUUUUCAUAUCCGCCUUGUUUCCCAGACCGUUUAAAAACUGGUGAGAAUGUGAAUAUUUUCGUAUUUAUGUUUAAAUGUACCAUGGUGAUUGUUGUGAGUUCACUUGCCUACAAAAAUUAAAUUCCGUAAAAACAACUAUAUGAACCAAUCAACCUAGCAUGUAACUCGUCCCGUGUGGCCAUGUCCUAUCUUGAACUUUCUGAAUACAUAUUCGAGAUGGUACCAGCUUAAUAAGGCAUAUGUAUCCAUACCCGCCCGUUGUCAAGCCAUACUCUAUGUGCUCUACUUUGCCUAAAAGGCUUAGAAAGCAUCUCCAAGGAAGCAAGCCAACAAAAACCCCAAUAACUCAGCCUUCAUCAGUUGUAGCCACCAAAAGAAAAGAAUUGCACAAACCGGGAAACAAUGUUUGUUCAUCAAUGUUUCCUUCAGAUGGGUGUUCAGCGAAGCUGUAAUCUUGUAUAUGUGUUCACUCGUUACGAUCCUUUGGAGCUAAAUCAAGAUCCUGCAUUUGCUGUUCGAUUGAAACCAGACCAGUCUGUGAAAGGAACCUGCCAAAAGAGAACCAAGAGUGCUAACAAUUCUAGAUUGAAUCAAUGAAGCUAAUGGUCAAAGGAUUCAGCAACGAAAUUCAUGAUGAACCCAUUAAAGAACACAAUUGAAUGUAUGGAUUUGAUAUAUUUGGCUAUUAAACUCUGGUUUCCAGUAAUCCACAAUGAAGAAAUCAAAUCAGUCUUAGAUUCAUUAUGUCUCCCUCCCCUAAUUCCCAAUCAGAUUUAGCAUAAACCCAACACAAACCAGCAAUUCUCAAGGCUAAAAAUGCCUAAUUAAGCAACCAUGAGACACAAUCCCCCACGUUAAGAACUGAUUCCUCACAAAGCAUCUAGCUUUCACAACGAAAUUCCAUCAAAGCUCGAGUUCAAAAGGGAGAAUGUGUUACUGUACCAACUAAGAAGGAAGAAGAGGGUAGCAGUGAUGAGAACGAGGAACCCAACGUGAAUCACCAAGGAAGAGUCGCUUGAAGCGAAAGCUAAUCCGAGCAUUAUUGCUAGAGACGCAGCCAGCAAGAAGAAGGCCGAUUUCAGAGUGUUCCAUGUAGGAGCCUGGAAACAAAUUCAGAUUUCAGACUUGUAAAAUAUUCAAUCUUUUAAUACUUCGCCAUGCAUAGAUCGAUCGAUUCAAAACUUACGUUGACUCCUGGAGCAAGCGCGCCCAGUAAGACUGCCUCAGCUGGCGAUACGGUAGAUUUCUUGCUCUCCAUUUUUUUUCCUGGGAGCUAUCUAAAAUGCCUUGAUCUGCGAUUUUUCUCGAAGAAGAUAGCGAAGUGGUUUGGCGGUCAUUUAAGUUUUUGGAGGUGACAUUUCGGUCAUUCGAGGUUUUCGGUAGGUAACAUUUCGGUCAGUCAACUUUUAUUUUUAUGAAAACUAUCUCGAUUCGAUUCCCCGACACAUUGUAAAUCGACAUUUCUUUCAUCUGUUUCGAGAAAUUUCAAGCGUCCGGUUUCAACCGGUUCAAGCAGAUUGCCACUCAGUCUCGAAGAAUUUAUCAAACCAAACAUGGUUCAGUUCUCCCUGCAGGUUUAACAUCUGGAAUCUCAGUAACUAAUAUGAACAAAGAAGAUUAAUCAAAUUCUUCUGCACUCUGCCUAAUAAGAAGCAUUACAUACAGUUGGAAGAAGCAAUUUAUAACUUAGCUUCCCAUGAAAGUGGGCCCUCUAAAGCUUGAACCUUGCUGAUGGUGGAACAGACAUUCUUUCUCCUUAAGGUACUGCAACAAUGGCUCCGGCUCGUUCAAAGAGCCGUCCCAGUUAUAAGAGCUCUGCUGCUUACUAUGUUCAUCGUAGUAGCCACGAUUCAUCAUCGGUGGCAGCCCUGGAUACAUCAAUGGGAUGGAUGGUAUAGGAGGAACAUGACUAGCAAGAUGAUGACGUGGCUGCCCAGAAAGACCGUUAUUGCUGGCUUGAUUCUCCCUGUACUGCCUUAGCCACUCGGAAGAAGUCAUCCUACGUGGCUGCUGUGGUGCGUAUGUAUAUCCAUCGGCCAGCCCCCAGUUUGAAAAGCCAGCCGGUCUAUGUUGAUGAUCAAGGAAACGAGGGACCGGGAUGUUGCUACAACCGUUGUCGUUAACCCAUGGUGCAUCAUCCGGCAGUAAUGGUGCUGAAGGUAAUGGAGGCGAGUAGUGGUCCUGUUCGCUAAUCGCCAGCUCACUCAAGCGUUCGUCAAUGGGUGGCAAUGUGUGCUUACCCUUCGGCUUCUCGUGGCUGGAGGACGAUGGGGCCACCCAGGCGUUCAGCGAGGGAGGCCCCGCUGCGAUGGUGGGCUCCGAAAACAGGCUGGUUAAGGGCUGCUCUUGCUGUUUUCCGCGCCUGAAAUUCGUGAGGCCGGAAUGGAAGGCAAAUCGGGUACUGUUGUGAUCUCCUUGGUGAGCAUGAUUCUGCGCUAUCAGUAAGGACGUUGCGCGUCUGAGGCAUUCGUCGGCCUGGCUAGUACUGGAUUCCCUCAAAGAAUCCGACGAAUCAGAAGCCAUGUUGUAAUUGUGAAAGGAGUUGUAAAUAGGUGCAGAGUUAUGCCUGGUGAGAGGCUUGAAAAGAAUAACUUCCUCCUCUUCUAAUAAAGUCUCAGACUUUUUGCCAUUUCCGUGAUGGGUAGUACUCGACUUCUUGUCAGUAAUCCGCUUGCUAGCAUCCAUUAUUCGUCGAACUCGACACCCUUCCCCACGCUCGAAACUAUCCACCCGAGUCGAGAAGUCGAGGGCUGCGUGAGGAACAACUAGAGGCGCAAAGCCUCUUAACUCGCAGUCUUCCCACAGAGCACGAGUCAUGACCGGACCAGAAAUCUUUUCGGAGCAGCCAUCAAAAUGCUUGAGUAGCUCGGAUAAGGAGCCGAAGAAGUAAGACAUGGCACUGCUCGUGGAUCUAUCGUCCGAAGAAGCUUUUUCGACUUCAUCGAAGAUGGUCGCCAGCCACUCGAUGAAGACGAGUACAGCUGGCAACAGUAUACACGAGGACGCCAGAUCAUUGGCCUUAGCGCAUCUGUCCACUAGGCGUCCCAGUAUGAUGAAUGUAGCAGUCAACGCCCAUUGCAUUGACAAAGUACUGUCUGAAUUUGAAGCGUCGACUUCCUUGCUGUUUCUGAGAUGUUCGACCGCGAAGAUGAGUACACAGAUGAGUUGGAGGGUUCGGAGAGGCCCUCGUUUAGCUGAAUCCGUAUGCUGGUAGUAAGAUUCCAUUUUGGACUUUAGCUUUGUAUCAUCAAUGGAGAGCAAUACUUCCAGCUCUUUGACAGCAGAUGCAAAAGUAUAAGGGAACGCCUCAAAACUGAAGAAAUAUACACAACUUAGAACUAAAGAUGUUGAACAGUGUCUAGGCAUUCGAGGCAUUCUGAUUGAUUCUGGUGAAAGGAAUACAUACCUCGAAUCCAGAAAGAAGAAGCUUACGACUCGAAUCAUAAGAAGCCACAAAGAUGUCUCAUUGGACUCAACAUGUUUCUGUUCAUUCUUCCAAACACUAGAUGAUGGUUCUAAGAAGUUGAAACCAACAUCAUCUGAGAUGAAGGGUAACGAGGACGACCUGUUCUGCAUGAUCAUCAGAGAGCAAUUAACCAUAACGGCCAUUCAAUCAGCGCGAUGAACACAUGAGAAGCAAGAACCAUAUAUAUAUAUAUGAAUUGACUUACUUUUUCACACAGCAAGAGAAGGUUAUUCCAAGCAUCGGGGAAAGGCUCCUUAACAGCUAAGCUCCUUAUGCAAUGGUACAAAGCUAGGAACUCGUCGCCAAUGUACGUAGCCAACACCGCCAACUAUGACCAAGAGACACAAGCAAGCUCAAUAACCUGAAUCAUGUCGAAUGAGCUAUAAGCACUGACUGUGUUAAAAGUACCUGGUUAUGAGGGUUUCCAUUGUAAGGCCAAACUGUGGUAGCUUCCGAGUAAUGCCUAGCUGGAACUGACCAGUUCUGCCUACCCAGUUUCUCGCACUGCUCGUUAUACCUCGUGAGAUCACCGAGACAAACCAGGAACCGAUGCCACAAGAACUGAAGCUUCUGCAUUCUCUUUGGCUCAUCGGAAUCAACACCAUUGCUACUACUACCCAAGCUAAAGACUUGACCAAGGCCAUAGCAUUUCCGAGCCUUAACUAUCAAGUUCAGGUAAAAGCCACUAGCUUCGGAUAGAAAUGACAUGAACCCUUCAACACUAUCAGAACCCCCGCAUCUCGUUCUCUUGCGAAAUUCGUCGAUAACCCGGUAGUGAAGCUUCCACAGAGAGUACUCAACAUCCUGCAGCUCUUGAAGUGUGUGAUCACCUAGAACAGUUUCCUCGUAGCAAGAACAGACUUCUCUAUAGAGAGCUUGAACAUCAGAAUUCCAUAGGGGUUUGGCAUGGAUCAUUCCUAGAAACUGUUUCUCCACAUCAGCAACCUACAUACAUACACAAUCAAUCAUCAGUAACUGCUGAAAAAAGAUAAGAGAGCUUAAGGGGUCGUUUGAUAUAGAGGAAAUUCUGACUUUUCCCAAAUAAGCUUAAUCUAACAUCCUGACUUUUAACAGAGAAUUCUCCACAUUUUACUAUCCUCUUAAAAAUCAUGUAAUUCUCAAUCAUCCAUACCAAAAAAACCCUUAAAAGGAGAAAUUGGGAAAAAUCCCACCUUGCCAUGAAGAAACUAGAUAGGAAUUAAUAACUCAAGGGGUCGUUUUGUAUAGAGGAAAUUCAGACUUUCUCUUUUUGUCUACCAAAUAAGCUAAUCCAUCAUCCUCCAACUUUUUAACGGACAAUUUUCCGCAUUUCAGUAUGAAACAUUAUGAAAUUCUCAAAUCAUUGCAUACCAAACAAACUCUUAAAAGAGAGAAAUUCAUCAAAAAGAUUCCACCUUGUUGAGAAGAGGCGAUUUCUCCCUUUGAUGGUUAUCCUUAGCUUCCAUGACUGAACAACCUCUCCAGCUCCAAUUUUGACUAAAACCCUUAAAAGAAAUCAAAACCCAGAAUUCAACUGUUAGCGUAGCACAAAAGGUCAAACUCAAACAGAACAGCUACAGAGGGGUGAUCAAAAGGUUGAAGAAACAAAAAAAAACCACCCAGAUGAGACAGAAAUCCACAAAGACAGGGUUUUGGACUAAACCCACAUGGAAUUACCUGAAGAAAGGGAACAAAGAGGGGUGGAAAAGUGGUGUUUCAGCAAGUGGGAGCCGCCAUAUCCAUGGAGAUGAAGAAGAAGCAGAGAGACUGAGAGAGAGAGAGAGAGAGAGAGCUAGGUGGGAUGUACUCGUACUAGUACUGUGUGUUGGCACGGGUAAGAAUGAAGGUACUGAUAGCUGUUGAUGCAAAAAAUGGACAGAGCAUAAGGUGGCUGGCUUGAUUAUGAGAGUUCAGAGUUUAUCCUUUUCUUUCUUUCUGUCGAUCGAGUGGGGAAAAGGAGACAUCUUUCAAGGUUAGUUGAGCCUUUUUGCCUUGUUUAGUGGUAGUUUGGAGUUUCUAAAGAAGUUUGAUUAAAAAAUGUGGAUUUUUAGUUUGUUCCUUUUUAAUUUUGUAAAUAUUUUCUUAGCUAAUUUUCGGAGACGAUAUUAUAAAAUUUGGGGAAAUCAUUUGAAUGUGUCAAAUUUUUUUUUGGGUUUACAAUAGAUUUAUGAUGAAUUUAGUUUUCAUUUUUGUUAUAAGAGAAAUGAAUGAGAUGGCUUACGAAUUAGUGCGAAGAUCGUUGUUCCAUGCAUUAUCAUUUAUGAGGUAUGCAUCUUCUGACUGGUUUAUUAAUGUUGUUUAAAUAUCAUAUUUUUUAACGCAACAUUGAUUAAUAAAAUUAAAAAAAACUUGGCAUAAUAUAAUCUUNNNNNNNNNNNNNNNNNNNNNNNNNNNNNNNNNNNNNNNNNNNNNNNNNNNNNNNNNNNNNNNNNNNNNNNNNNNNNNNNNNNNNNNNNNNNNNNNNNNNNNNNNNNNNNNNNNCAAAGAUCUAUAUUUCUAUAUAAAAACACUCAUCAUUAGUUAUAAUAUUGCAUAAACAUAAAAUACUAGUAGGAACUAACAAGGGUAAUCAUUGUCACACACCAAUUUAUUUAAUACAAAAAUUCAUGAAUGAUUAUUGAAAACGAUGUCUAAUUAGGGUCCCUUGUUAUCCAAGCUAAGCCCUAUUUUUUCUAGCUAGCUUUCAAAAUUGUCUUUCUUUCAUAAAACCUUUUUAACAACCUAUAAAUCUCACAUCCUCACUUCUCUUGAGUAGAGNNNNNNNNNNNNNNNNNNNNNNNNNNNNNNNNNNNNNNNNNNNNNNNNNNNNNNNNNNNNNNNNNNNNNNNNNNNNNNNNNNNNNNNNNNNNNNNNNNNNNNNNNNNNNNNNNNNNNNNNNNNNNNNNNNNNNNNNNNNNNNNNNNNNNNNNNNNNNAUUUGUUAAUGAACAAACCAGUUACAUAGUACGUCUCUAUUGGGUUUUGGUCUACCAAUUUAUUAUGUAACAUGAUUAAACAAGAUAUUAGCAAUUUAAUAACAUGAUUAAACAGUAUAUUAGCUAUUUAAUAUGUAGUACAUCUCUUGAUUGCAAUGUGUUAAAGGAGGAGGGGAGAGCAUGUGUGGGAAGUGGAUGGUGAGUGGUUGAGUUGAUUAUGUCAAGUUACUUUCAAUUUGACUAAUUAACCAAAGUAUAAAUUAAUCCAAUUACAAAUUAUUUUUAAAAAAAACUCUUAUACAUGUAUAUACGUAGCAUAACAAUGNNNNNNNNNNNNNNNNNNNNNNNNNNNNNNNNNNNNNNNNNNNNNNNNNNNNNNNNNNNNNNNNNNNNNNNNNNNNNNNNNNNNNNNNNNNNNNNNNNNNNNNNNNNNNNNNNNNNNNNNNNNNNNNNNNNNNNNNNNNNNNNNNNNNNNNUUUAUUCAUAAAAAAAUAUGUAUCUUAAGAAAAUGGAUAAACAUAUAUAUAUAUAUAUAUAAGGUUUUGAAUUGAUGCUUCGCCGGCGGCUGCCGUGCACGCAUGAUGAUAGACCCAUUAACGUAAGUCACUUACCGGGGCCCACUUCCGAUGACCAUUUUCCUCGGCGUGGUAAGUAUUCUUCUUCCCACCCUGAUGAUCAUAACUCCUUCAUUCAUCUCCGUCGUUGGAUUUCAGAACACAAUUAUUAUAAUUUUUUAUUUUUUUAAAAUCGUAAACAAAGAAAAUAGAAAGUACAACAAUCUUAACCAUUAACUCAAUGAGUGAAAAUUAGUGAUAAUACUUUUGAAAAAUAUUUAAAAAUCAGGGUGUCAUUGAAUAAACGACUUCAUUAUUCAAGAAUUUCAAGCGCGAGGACGAGCAGUUUUUCCUGUUAUUUACAUAAAAAAGAGUCAACUUAUUUAUUAUUAUCACUUAAUCUAUUAUGUAAUUUUCUCUCAAAUUAAGUGAUUUAAAAUAGUGAUUUUAAUGAUGUUCUUGUUUGAAAUCGAGCUAAGACUAACAAGGUUAUUCAUUUUUGUCUCCGAGUGUGGGUGGUCGUUCAUUUGGGUUUAGAAGUCAAAACGAAGGACACGUGUAGGUGGGCCUGGGUCAUCCGAAGCCCAUCUCAAGCAAGAUGUGACGUGAAUUAUUGGUGGGCCGUUAAUGGAUUUCGGAUCGAUAUCUUAUAGAAGUCUUUGUCUCCACUCUUACGAUUUUGCCACAUGUCGGUGAAGCAAUGGCUUACGUGGCAGGAUCAUAAUCAGCUGAUCCUGAUUGCCAUGGGAAAACUAUAAUGAAUAGCAAAGCCAUGAUGAUGUACUCAAUGAAAAAGAUUUAUGGAAGGUCUCUUUUAAGACACAAUUAGCCAUCUUCCAAUCUAAUGUUUCCAUCUAUAUAAUUUUCUGUAUAUGUUACAAUUCGUCUUAAUACAUAAACUCAUACUGUAUCCGUCGCUGAGACACUUGCAUUCAAAACUGAAUGAGAGAUGUGGCAUGGAUGAUAAAGCAUAGUAUAUGGAAGAACAUUAAUAUAUACAUCUAAACAUGCUAAGAACUGUACCAAAAGAGUGUUGUGACCAUACACAAGCAAGACUCAAACAUCCCCACUAUAGACUCAUUCAUUGUUGCACAUGCCCUAACAUUCGAUAUGAAACCCCUUAACAUAUAUCGUUGGUUCUAUAUAGCAAUUCAUAAUCAACUAGCUGGAACAACAUCACAUCUAAUUUUCCAAAUCUCUCCUUAGAUCUCUCCAUCAUCGGCCAUGGGUUUCCACCACCACCGGUACCGGCUCGUGAUCAUUAUCCUCGCCUUAGCAACAACCAUCUUCGCGGAGUCAUCAACAACUACGACGAAUGUGGACCCCUGCAACGGCGACCCUUGCGACGUCGGGGUAGCUAGGUGGAGGAGGAUUGUUGAUCGUGGUUGCUCUCUUCCGGACAUCAACAACAACAUGUUGGCUCGAGAAAGGGAUCGGUACAUUAGCUACGCAGCACUCGCGGCCAACAACAUCCCGUGUGGGAAGCGCGGUAGGUCGUAUUACGAUUGUAGCGGUCAUAAGCGAAUGAACCCUUAUAGACGAGGGUGCACUGCAAUCACUGGUUGUUACAGGUGGACCCAUUGAUUCCGUUGGAUGUAGAGAUCAAUGGAGUGAGGUGAGUGAGUUUAAAGAUGGUUAUAUUGAAUAAGUUUGGAGAGUUGAAUUGAGCUCUGUGGGCAUGAUCAUAAACCAAAGUAGUAUGUAACAGUUGAAGUCUGUAUAUAUCAAUAUAUGUACUAGCUUAGUACCACUAGUUAUCGGUCAUGGCGAUCGAUCUAUACUUGGAAGCAAUAAACGUAUCUUUCUAUGAAUAAGGGAAUGUGCUUUGUAUGGAACAUCCUUACAAAUUUUUGUUGGAAUAUAUGGGCAAACUCAAACUCAAUUUGAUCGGUACACCAGGCUAAAUAUGUAUAAAUUUCGUUUUAGGGUGGAUUUUUUCAUCAUUUUUAAAAAGGGUAACUAUGCGGUUUUCUAUGAAAAUUGGCCAAAUAAUCAAAUCGAUUAAUUUUUGAAAUGCGGGUCGGAAACUGUUAGAAAAUCAAGUUCCACUAUAUCAAACCCUCAUAAUUAGCCAAAUGAAAUCAAAAACCCCCAUUUUUUCGUGUGUUUUUAUGAGUUUUUUUUUUCAUGUGUAUGUUAUGCAUUAGCUAUGUUACACCAUAUAUAACUUUUGGAUAGUAAAUGACAGACCAUAUCCAUACCCGUUAGUUUCUUAAUGAUUUUUAGUUAUACCAUAUUCGUACCUGCACAUAAUAGUUAUAAUUUCACGUUUGGAUAAUAUGAUGUAUAUAACCUUUUGGUUAAUAAUGUCACAUCAUAUCCACACUUGUUAGUUUUCGGAUUAUCCUUUUUGAGUGUUUUGUUUUGUUGAUGGGGAAUUGAAGAGAUUUACACUUUCUUUGUGAUCUCCAUGCAUAUGGGUGUGUAUCCCCUAAUGACAGUAAUUAGAAAUGAGUUGAACUUCCAUCAUCUAAUUACUGUCUAUGUGUCCCCGUGCGGUUGUGUCUUCCGAGCUAAGCUAUUGUGUUGCGUUCAAUGUGGUGACAUCGAAAGUUGGGAUUUUGUGCCAAGUAGUGUCCCGUAAGUACCACUAAAUAUUCUCGGUCAUAGCCAUCUAAUAAUACUUGAAAAUGAUAAUCAUAUCAUGUUAUAAUGAACAAAACUGGAACAUCCAUCUUUACAAGUUUAUAUAUAUAUGUAGCGAUUCACGAAUAAUAUUUGACGUGACAAACUCAAACUCUAUUGAUGAGCCCAAAUAUAACUUAACUCGAUCAUUACAAGCUAACUUUUUUCACUAGACCUAACCUCCACUUAUCAUAAAGAGUUUGGGUGUUUGUUUGUCUGUUAUUUUACCUUAUUUGCUUAUUGAAUAACUACAAAUUUGACACUGUUUAUGUUACUUGCACGACACAUUUUCUGUCAAAUGUGUACUAGUGAAUUUUUUUUUACAAACAAACCAUAAACUUUUAUAUUUUGAAAGAAUAAUAGUAAAUAACAUACAAGAUACCCCCAUCGGAGGUACAGUCUUUGCGAACAAAACUAUAUGUAUUACGGAUCUUUACAAGUAAGUGACUUAAACUGUUUCUCUCCAAUCUAGUAGGCAAUUGAAUCUAAGGAUAAAUCAAGUUCAAGAGACUAGCGGACGAGGGAAACAAAAAUAACAAGGAAGGCAGUCCGAAAAUCAAAUUAAACCUAACGAACAUGAAUGAAUUUUGUUCUUAUUAGGCUAUCAUCGAGGGUGGCUAGGACCUUAGUUGGUCGGGCACCGGGCUUCAAUGUGGCAUACCAGUCGCUCGGAGCUGACUGGUUGUUGGUGCUGAGGGUGAGAUCUGGCCCGCUUUCCGGGCUUAUUUGUGUGCCGACGAGCUGAGAUUCAAUUCGAUCUCCAUUGGGUCCGAAUUGGUUAGCUCACACCUACGUCGUUUUUUGUCCUCCGUGGUGGUCCGGUAUUCGUCUUCUAUUGCUAGGAUCUCGAGCUCAGAGUUCCCCGGUGCUGACUGCAGAUGUGAGCUAGUGACUCCGGCGUGGGAAUACGAACUAUGUGUCGUGUACUAGUGAUACUAGUGAUUUAUUAAUCAAGUAGAUAUAUUUCGUCAAAUAUUAGACGGUAUAUAACAUUCGUGACAAUUUUGACAAAUAACGAUUAAAAUCACAUAAUUAAGUCUAUUAUAUAUGUAGUCUAACUAAAAUUCGAAUUAAAUCCCGAAUCAACUAGUGAAUCAUGCACCUUGCUUGGGGCAAACAAUUAUAAAAGUCAACGAACCCCUCCUAUUACUUCUUUCCAUCUCUAUUUUCUUCGAGUAAAGGGAUCGUCUCAAUCGGCGGAUUAGGGAGCUAGUUUUUCCCUUGUUGCACACCGUAUGACCUUUGCUUCGCUAAGGAGUUAGGGACGAACUUUAUCUCGCAUUUCACAUAUCUUAUGUUGCAAUUCCAUCCCUUCAAAUCUAAAUUGUUAAAUGUCUCGAAUGAGCAAUUACAUAAAGUAGCACAUCUAACUUGAUAACCAAUUGAACGUACUGAAACCGGCUCUUCAUAGCCUUUUUUCCUUCAACCAAUCGUCUCACCUGCCUAAAUCAAUAUGAGCUGAGCCCAAUACUUUACAUGAGACAAACACCGAGCUCAAGCCCACCAGCCCAUAUAUCUACAGCCCAAAGCCCUCUUCAUAGCCUUUCUGACUGCCGUCCAUCUCUAACCCCAGCUAAUAAAAGUCGCCUGAAUCUCUGUCUCUCAAAGGUUUCGACAAGUUUGAGGAACCGUGAAGAAGCCUCGGGUUUUUCUUUCUUUCUUUCUUUCUUUCUUCACGAGAACAACGUCGAUGGAUCCUCUUCAUAAAACCACAAAGCCAAAGCGUUACUUCACACGAAAAUUGUUGACAUCACGGUUGUUGUCAUAAAGACUUGAAGUGUCGUCGGAAGCUUUAUUAAAUUUCAGAUCAUCAUCAGCAUUCAGCCGCCGCCUGUUGAAGUCAUAUUUCCUGAACGUUGUUUCAGAAAUAAAGCUGAGCAUCUCUCAGCCCAGUCUGCACGUAUGGUGUACACUAGUGUGGUUCAAGCUAAAGCCUUUUUAUUUUUAUUUUUAUUGCAUUUUUACACGAUACAUGACAUACAUGACUCGUUGCGGGUUACGGGUUAUUUCGGUCCAACUUCACAUUCACAAUAACUAUAUAUUUCAGCUACGAACCUUGUGUAGUUAUAUGAUGACAUGCUACAUGAUGAGUUUGUUUAUUUUGUUCCGAUGUUUUUCUCUUUUUGCUACUCCUCAUUUUUAGAUGUUGUUAAUUAUGUCGGGUUAAAUUUAAUUUAAAUGAGUGACAUCUUUUGACUGUUUCAGUGGAGUAAAAACAAGAGGUGAUAGUUAUGUUUAAAAACGAGUUGCAACUCGUAAUGAAGUAGAUAUGAAGUGGGAAGUGUAAGACAUCGUUUUUCGUGACAUAUGUGGGGUGGAAUUGACUGGAUUUAGAGAUAAAUUUUUAGACGCCCAACCAAUUAUGUUGUCUGCGGCACAAAACGACAUCCACAAUUAUAUAUGUCGGAUUCGGAAGUUUAAUUCUGCCUAAUUCUAACCUCCAAAGUUCGUUUGUAGUGGUCUGAAUUUGUCAAAUCCAACAAAUUUAUUUGGUGACUUUGAAAAUUCUAACCCAAACUAACACCCUUUAAGAAAAAACCAUAUCUAAAUGAUUAAAUUUGAUAAAUGCGUAUGAGAUGAGAAUACCAUGAGCCGAUUUGAGCAGGUUCAGUAGUAUGAGCCUAGUUUUGAAGCUUGUAUACGAAAAAAUCGAAGAAUUGGAGGUCAACUAGGCUUAAUGAUGACCUACAACUAACCCAUAAUCAGCAACCCGAAUAAUUAACGACAAAUCACAAUCAAAUGGUCAAGUAGGUGGUCUUAUAAUUAUCAUUAACUUAUACUUCCAAACUUUCACGCCCCUCCGUACCUAAAAGUAAUUAAAUUGAGAAAGUGAUUGGUCAUCAUCUGAGCAAUUGGCGUUGAUUAACAAACUAAUUAAUAAUUAAGAGAUUUUAUUAUGGGAAAUUAAAAAAGAACAUGUACAGAAACGAUAAAGAUGAACACUUUGGUCCAAAUUUGCGGCCAUGUUGUCUAGAAAGAAACCCAAUAAAUAAUUAAUUUUAUCUAAAUUAUCUAGUCAAUAAUAUCUAUAUUUAUUUAUUUCUUUAUUUAUUUUAAGGUUUUGGAUUGGUCGAUAGUUGCCGAGCAUACAUUCAAACUCUCACAUGAUCCUUCCUCCAAUGUCGUUUUCAUGUCGUCUGUCUCUUAACUCAAUUCCAAAUUUAUGUAUUGGUAAAUUCAUACUUCAAUCCGAAUUUUGUAGAUAUUUUUCGAGCAUUUUUUGGUCUUGUUCACUUGUCAACAUGGAAGCACAACAUCGAAAUUCUCGGGAUCGGUCCAUCGAUCUGAACCAGCCAUCGACGACGGAGUAGUACAACGUACGUAACUUGAGGCUCUUUUAGUCGAGUUGGUCGACAUUUUAUGGCAAGUGGAUUGAGUAUUUGGGUUGGGAGGAUAAGCGAUGAGGUAUAUAUAUAUAUAUAUNNNNNNGAGAUGAGGUAUAUAUAUAUAUAUAUAUAUAUGGGUAAUUGUUUUGAUUAUGUGACUGCGAAAUUUGGCCAAUAAAAAGUUUAAAAUAACAUAUAAUUAUAUUGAAGAUUAGUUAAACCCCGUGGGGUACCUCAUCUCUGAGCAAAAUCAAAGUUUAACUCCAUUGAAUUGUUGAGAACAUGUUACGAUGGAAUUACAAAAAAUUAGUAACAAUAUAACAUAAGUAAAUCACAAAUCAAACAAUCAUCUCUAAAUAAUUAUUAAUAUUUCAAUAACUUAAAUUGUUGGGAGAUGGAUAUUGAUUUUAUAUUAUUUAUUAACACAACCCUUCAAAAUAAAGUUUUUAAAACAAUCUAAAAUAAGUCAUUGAUGUUAGCUUAUCCAGAGUCAUGAUUCACACCUGUCGAGAUAUAAUUCAAAUUGAUUUUAUUUUAUUCUUUAAUACUUUCAAUCUUUUUUACAUANNNNNNNNNNNNNNNNNNNNNNNNNNNNNNNNNNNNNNNNNNNNNNNNNNNNNNNNNNNNNNNNNNNNNNNNNNNNNNNNNNNNNNNNNNNNNNNNNNNNNNNNNNNNNNNNNNNNNNNNNNNNNNNNNNNNNNNNNNNNNNNNNNNNNNNNNNNNNNNNNNNNNNNNNNNNNNNNNNNNNNNNNNNNNNNNNNNNNNNNNNNNNNNNNNNNNNNNNNNNNNNNNNNNNNNNNNNNNNNNNNNNNNNNNNNNNNNNNNNNNNNNNNNNNNNNNNNAAGAUGAUUGAGAGGAAAAAGCCAAAAAAAAAAACACUGCACAUGAGAUGGGAGAGUAGACUGAGAUCCAAGUUGAAGUGACCCACCAACCCACCAUAUAUCAAAGAUUAGGGUUUGGAUUCAAAGAAUCAAUUGGCCUCUUUGUGGUCCUACGAUAAUGGUAAAAAGUGUUGUCCAUGUUUGGUAAAGUCUCGUGGUUGAAUUUUCGUAUAAUUCGUAGCGGAUAUUUCAGUAAAGAAAUAAAAUGUUCGUGAAAGUUAACGAAUUACAAGUGGUAAACCGAAACAACAAAAAAGUAUGAUGAUGACAAGACACAUUUAAGUUGUAAAUGUUAAUUGAUCGUAAGAUCAAACAUUAAAUUAUUAUGUAUCUAUUUUAGUAACGUUUUAAGAGUUUUACUUCCUCAAAAAGAGUAAGAUGAAGUUACUGUCUUACUGAGGCAGCCACCGACGGUAAAAGCAACUUAUGGAACCAAACUUCGACUACCCGUAAAAACCAAUCUAGAAACCGAAACGAAACCGGAAUUUGGCUUUGACCCCAAUUGCAUUCAUUGUUCACACUCCCACCAUCUAGACAAAAUACCAUGUUUCUCGCUUCUUGCUCUUUUCUUCAUGUUAUCUCUACAGCUGUUUUGUACAUAAUUCAAUGUUUCAUCAUCAUCAUCAUCAUCACAAGACCCACUUCCAAUUUCCUUUCUCCCCACCAAUGUUUUUUCCUCUCAUGUCCCCAUUUACUACAGUGUCUAUGGUCUCCCCAUGGAGUCAAAAAAGGAAACUUACAUUCAAAGUAGUGUUUGUUGCUUUGCUUUUGCUUGUGUUGGUUGAUCCAAAAAGCAAUACCCCCAAAAAACAACUCUCCUUCCAUCUUUGCAUGAUUGCUUUUAAACAAGCCACACUCAAAGUAAUUCCUCAACCCUCUCUUUGACUCCUUAAUUUCAUAUUAAAAGCCAAAAAGUAGACCGAAGAAUUCGGUCGAUGUAUGUCGUUCAGACAGUACAGUAAUAUAGACCCUAUAAUACCCGAGCAAUACUCAAAACACAUUCGGAUGACAGAGAGUUUGAAGUAUCGAAUUGAUACUUCGAAAAAAUGAUUACAAACUGACCGGAUCAGAUGGAAUGAUCAAAAGUUAGAGUAGACCAGACCCUAUUUUGACUAUCGAACAAUACUCAAAACACAUUCAAAUAAGAGAGGGUUGAAGUAUUGAUACCUAGAAAAGAUGAUACAUAUCUACCUAUGAAUCUUUACCAUAUGAGUCACUCACUCUACCAUUCCCACCAAAGAUAAAAACUAGUUAGCUAAAAGACAAAUACCAUACAUACCAAUUUUCACAAACUAGUGACUCUUCUUUCUCUUGCUUCUUCUACCAAUGUCACUAUCCCCCCACAAAUUUUCCAAUGGGGGACCAAAUUGGAAAAGCUACAAGUUAAAAACAAAACAUAAUUUACCCCCUUUCCCACACCCCACCAAUCCCAAUACAAACCCAAUGGUAAAAAAAAAUUUAUUCCAAAACCCCAAAUGAUUCCUCCACAAAUGAAAUAAAUAAAUGGGAAGGGCUACACCCAAAAAGUCCAACAUCAAACUCAUAAUCAAUCAUCAUUAGGUUUGAAGACCAAACAACACUUGUGUCUCUCUUAAUACCAAAAGUUCUAAAAUAUUCCAAUUGGGUAAACAAAUUUAAUUUUGAAAUUAAAAAACUAAAAUAAACCACAAUUGUUUGGGGGGAAUUUUGGCAUCUUUCCUUGGUCCACUCAAUGCACCCAAAUAUUUAACAAAUAGAGACAUCAUCUAACAACAAGGUCAAGCUAGAUUCCUUUGCCUAUCCAACCCAACUCAUGCCUAGCCUCCUAUAAAAGUCUAAGCCCUCAUCAAAUUCUCCACUAACACCACCACCCUCCGGCAACCGAUCGAUAAAACUAACAAUUAAAUUCAAUUAUCAUUACGAAAUUAUCUGAGAAUAGCUUUAUUUCAGUUGAUAAGUGCUUUCACGUCAAUCGCUUUGUAAAGUAAUAGCGUUUUUAAUAACGACCAAGACGCAAAAAUGCAUUUCAUAAUUAGUAAUUCAAUACUUAAAGAGUGAAAUCUUAAUUAUUUCGUAAAGAAUUACUGACUUCCGAUUACAAUGUGAAUUCGGUAAUUGGGUUUAUUAUUAUUAUUUUCAAAAGAAGAACCCAUUUUCCCCAUUGUACCCAAUUUUCCAAUUUUGAUCAUGGUAAUUUUUUUUACCUGUACUAGGUCUAGGAGGAGUGCCAACCUCCACUAUUCAUCUACCAACCUCGGUAAAAAAUUUCUACCACCGUGUAUCUAUUAAUUAAUAAUUACCCCCAAGAGUAAUGGAACUGAAUCCCGUUACCCAAAAUUUCACAUUUAAUGCCACAGUCAAUGAAUUAUGAUUUAUGAUUCCCUCCCCCAUGAAACUUAUUAUGGUAAAAAUUAAUUACCAUUUUGAGCAGAAAAUAAAAUAGAAAAAAAUUCACCCCAGACAUUUCUGCUUUGGAUUCCUAACCGGGACAGAUAACCUAAAUAAAGUCAACACAAUUUGACUGUUCCUUUUGCUGUAAAAUUACAAAACGGCACCCAAAAUUAUACAAUUAGAAGCAAAGAUCCUCCAUUUAAUUUCUCAAUUUCUCAUCAUCAAUGCCAUUAACAUAUACUUAACGGGGAAAAAAAAUCUUACAACGGAGUUGAAGAAAAGAUUAAUUAUAACAAAAACGGAGGAUAAAAAAAAUUUCAGAAAUUUAAAUAUUAAAUUAUUUAUUUUUCUGCUUAGUCUGAACCUGAGACUCGAGGCGACGUCACCGGAAAAAGCGGCAACAACCGCGGCGGCUCCGCCACCCUCGGCN
This 19508-nucleotide long non-coding RNA is filed under the name Linum usitatissimum (flax). RNAcentral describes it as "long non-coding RNA (LUSI_LNC007261)". The record is from RNAcentral. Lineage: Eukaryota; Viridiplantae; Streptophyta; Magnoliopsida; Malpighiales; Linaceae.